RNA transcript from Quercus robur (English oak), 1956 nucleotides. It is a transcript of the gene named monothiol glutaredoxin-S6-like, with no coding region annotated. The record is from RefSeq and is a predicted model, not a curated record. The transcript has 3 exons. NCBI's taxonomy places the organism in Eukaryota, Viridiplantae, Streptophyta, Magnoliopsida, Fagales, Fagaceae.
ACACGUUUUACUCUCAUCUCAUUCUCACUCUCACACACAGAACACAGCCUCCAGCCCUCCGCAGUCACUCUAACACACAAGAAGGAGAGACAGAGAGAGAGACCCUUCACAUCGGUAAGUUUUACUCCACAGUCACUCCAAAUCUUCUUUCUGCCGCCGGCCUCCGCACACCGGCCUCCACACGAUGGCCUUCCCACACCAGUCUCCCCACGACACGAUCAUCUUCCUUCUUUUCUCACGUUUAUGGAGGCAGUUAUUGGGUUGCGAGCGGGUUCCCAGUGAUGGCUCGACCACCAAGGAAUCAUAAAAUGAUAAUUUUUGUUGUGUUGCUACAUCAAUUAGAUUUACUAUGUCAAAUGUGGAUGAUGUUAGUGCAUGUGUGCAAUAGUGAUUCUUUCUAGGAAUAGGAGAGUUGGAAGAAUUGGAGGUUGGGGUGACCAAAUAUUGGAGAGAGCAAAUGUGAGAAUUGUAAAUAUGAAUCAAAUGGUUUGGAUGGAUGAUACGGCAUCCAUAAACAAUGUACGAAUGGACAGGAGAGCAUUUAGAAAACUUUGUGACAUGCUCCACAUACAUAGGGGUUUGAGGCCAUCUAGGAAUAUGGAAAUGGAGGAGAUGGUAGCAUCUUUUCUACAUGUACUUGCACAUCUUGCAAAAAAUAGAGUUGUAGCACAACAAUUAGCUCGGUUAGGUGAGAGUAUAAGUAGAAACUUCAAUGCUGUAUUGCAUGAUGUCCUUCAUCUUCAUAGCAUCCUUUUUAAGAAAUCGGAGCGCCUAUAAUUACUUUGCAUGAAUGGUUUUGUGAGCAACAUUACUUUGAAUAAAUUGUUUACAAAAUUAAUGGUUAAAUUAACUGAAAUCUCAUUAUAUUCUAAUUUUAUGCUAGCAAGUGGCAUCUGAUAUGGGACCUGGUGGUAAAAGUUCCCUUUUUUUUUUCCUUUUUAUCAUUAUUAUUUUUUUUAAAGAAUGGGUAAUGCAUUUGUGGGGUAUCAUUUUAUUUAGCUUUCUUUAUAUGUGAUAAAAGUUUCCAAUAAUCUGCCUCUUUGAUAAGUUUUCAUAUAUAAAGUCCUGAUUGCAUUAUCCAGGUUACAAAUUUUUAUUUCACAAUUAGAAUCCACUUUCUAUUGCUAAUCUUUGAAGUAAUAAAAAUAUUAGGGUGAAAAAAUAAACACUUAGCCACAUUAUUAUAUAUGCUUUUGACUCAAUGGUGGGUAUUUUCUUUUGGCAAAAAUAGCAAGAUUGAAGUACUAAUUAAUCUACAUUCGGAUACCAAUACACUUUUAAAGAGAACCACACAUUAUUAUAUAUGCUUUUGACUCAAUGGUGGGUAUUUUCUUUUGGCAAAAAAAGCAAGAUUGAAGUACUAAUUAAUCUACAAUCGGAUACCAAUACACUUUUAAAGAGAACCACACAUUAUGCUAAAUAGGCUUAAUUUGUCCAGUUGUUCAAUGCACUAGUAUUUAACGAAGAGAAUAUAUCUUAUAUAGUAGCAUUCCCGAUUAGUGCAAUGUGUCAAAAUAGAUAUAUAAUGUGUUAGGUCACCUUUAAAAAGCAUAUUUUUCUUGAAUUGAUCUGGUUGUGAAUCAAGUUAUGAGAAAAUUUCCACCAGAUAAUUGGAUAAAUCCUAUAAUCCUACUUUUUUUCUCAACCUGGCCAGAUGAUCCAAGAUCUACUUAGUAAAAUAUAUAUAUAUAUAUAUAUAUUUUUUGUGGGUAAGUUGUUUUCAUGUUUUAGUUAUAACGUUAAAAUGAGUUUGAAAGAAUUUUUCUGUUUAACUCAUAUAUAAAUUAUUGGAGCAAAGUUUAGUUACAAAAUUGGUUGCAGUUUUAGCCUAUAAUCUUACUCAAUAUCUUUUUAGUGGAGGUGAAUUUUGAUAAAUCCACCAUUAGAUUACAGGUUCGUUUGAAUACAGUUGAAAAUUGAAAACACUGUAGCAAAAUAAUUUUUAAAUGUGUAAAA